Molecule: long non-coding RNA, 790 nt
Organism: Actinia tenebrosa (Australian red waratah sea anemone)
Lineage: Eukaryota; Metazoa; Cnidaria; Anthozoa; Actiniaria; Actiniidae
Source: RefSeq, a predicted model, not a curated record
AUGACAAUGGAUUGUGCAUGAUAUGGGAAAAGAAAAAGGAAACAAUAGGCCUAUAGCUCUGCUAAUUAGGCUGCAAUAUCUUUAUUCACCUAAAAUCAGGAAACGAGAGGGGCCCGUCCCUCUGCUCGCAGUGUAGCUCGUCCCAUCUUGGAAUCAGUACUUAGUCGAAAAAGUUGGGAUUAUUAACUAGAGCACCGACAUAUUUUAGCGUCAAAUCUUCGCAUUCAGCAUGGAUAUAUGCGCGCACUCUUUACAUAAGCUGCGACCUUCAAAUCAAGUUUCAUCGACUUCUUGUACCGCUGGCCACCUGCGCAGCUAGAUAGUUUGCUGCUAUCGUGCAGGAUGGAAGAGAAUGACGCCAGACUUUGAUGGUGGAUUAAAUCUGAACGCUGAGAUCCUGUUCAUGGGAGAAAUUGACCGUUUAUAACCUCAUUGGAUAACACAAUUACUAUAAAUCCGUAGUUUCCAUCAUAUAGUCCCAAGGUAUCACGUGGAAAUGCGUAUACGGAUAACGAGGUCACACACUCGUUCAAUUGCCGUAGAAAUAAACGGGAAGAAAGCAGGCUUGAGCAACCAAAAGAAAACAUGCAAAUGGGAGAGAAAGUACUAUUCAGAACAUUCUUCCGAUUGGUUGUGAGAUGAGAGGAUCUGGUUUUACAUUUGGAUAUUAGUCAGUCCUUUGUGGCGUAUCUAGAGGACGUCUGUUUGGUAGCUGGUAGCAAAUCGAAAAAGGCCCAGGUAGAAGGCGAUUAAAGGACUUCGAUUGAAGGUAUUCACUCAAUACUACCCC